GAGAAGUAGCUGUAAAGCUCAGGAGGGAUAGCGCCAUGUCUCACCAGUACUAUGAAAUGUUUGUAUAUCUAUAUUGGCGCUAUCCAUCCUGAGUUCUAUGGCUUCUUCUU
Molecule: non-coding RNA, 110 nt
Organism: Brassica napus (rape)
Lineage: Eukaryota; Viridiplantae; Streptophyta; Magnoliopsida; Brassicales; Brassicaceae
Source: Rfam